This 253-nucleotide ribosomal RNA is filed under the name uncultured bacterium. Its description in RNAcentral is "partial 16S ribosomal RNA". It matches the Rfam family "Bacterial small subunit ribosomal RNA", at positions 524 to 776 of the family's 1533-position model. The record is from RNAcentral.
UACGGGGGGGGCAAGCGUUGUUCGGAAUUACUGGGCGUAAAGGGCUCGUAGGCGGCCAACUAAGUCAGACGUGAAAUCCCUCGGCUUAACCGGGGAACUGCAUCUGAUACUGGAUGGCUUGAGUUCGGGAGAGGGAUGCGGAAUUCCAGGUGUAGCGGUGAAAUGCGUAGAUAUCUGGAGGAACACCGGUGGCGAAGGCGGCAUCCUGGACCGGUAUUGACACUGAGGCGCGAAAGCCAGGGGAGCAAACGGG